Eptesicus fuscus (big brown bat) is the source of this 456-nucleotide long non-coding RNA. RefSeq lists it as uncharacterized. The record is from RefSeq and is a predicted model, not a curated record. Lineage: Eukaryota; Metazoa; Chordata; Mammalia; Chiroptera; Vespertilionidae. The transcript is spliced from 3 exons.
ACAGUCACAUGGGAGCUCCCUUGUAGAUAUGUCUUGGUGUGGGCCUCUUUGGGUUCCUCUUGUUUGGGACUCUCUGCGAUCCCUGGACUUUUAAGUCUAUUUCCUUCACCAGCUAAAAAUUCCAUGCCUCUAGAGACACCAAAUGGAGAUCACGAUUACAGCAGAUUUUCAGUGCAACUAAAGGAUCCAGCUGGUUUGCAGAAGCCCGUAUAUGCUCCCUCCUGUCCUGUGUGGUAGGGGCAGCCUCUGACUCUAUGAGGGAAGUCUCCCAUUGCCUGCCUGUGUCAUUGGUGAGCUAUGAACAAGUGCACUUGGCAACAGAUCUAAAGCCAUGCUCUUUCAUGUCUAAUGUAGUUAAGCUGACACUCUGACCUCCAUUUAUCUUUUGUCUCAUUUCUUGAGAAGAAAAAACAAAGAUUUUUUUUUUACUGGCCCUUUAAAACUACAAAGCAGGAC